RNAcentral lists this ribosomal RNA (253 nucleotides) under uncultured bacterium. RNAcentral's name for it is "partial 16S ribosomal RNA". It matches the Rfam family "Bacterial small subunit ribosomal RNA", at positions 524 to 776 of the family's 1533-position model. The record is from RNAcentral.
UACAGAGGGGGCAAGCGUUGUUCGGAAUUACUGGGCGUAAAGGGCGCGUAGGCGGCCUGUUAAGUCGAACGUGAAAUCCCUGGGCUCAACCCAGGAACUGCGUCCGAUACUGGCAGGCUUGAAUUCGGGAGAGGGAUGCGGAAUUCCAGGUGUAGCGGUGAAAUGCGUAGAUAUCUGGAGGAACACCGGUGGCGAAGGCGGCAUCCUGGACCGAUAUUGGCGCUGAGGCGCGAAAGCCAGGGGAGCAAACGGG